Molecule: RNA transcript, 1166 nt
Organism: Raphanus sativus (radish)
Lineage: Eukaryota; Viridiplantae; Streptophyta; Magnoliopsida; Brassicales; Brassicaceae
Exons: 3
Source: RefSeq, a predicted model, not a curated record
UGAUCGAUGAUGCAUGCGAUUGAGCCUCUUGAUGGUUUGAUCGGUUGAUUGAGCCGGUUCUCGACCUUCUGUCUCUCGGUGUGCCUCCUCGACGGCGACCGAGCGGAGCUUUCACUCGGUGGCUCAGCUCGAUUCGAAAGUCUCUCUCCACUACAAAAGUGUACCGCCGCCAUUCGUGUCUUGGCGUAUGGUUCUGCAGCUGAUACCGUCGAUGAAUACCUCCGGCUCGGUUCGUCAACAACUCGGUUAUGUGUUGAAAACUUUGUGGAUGGAAUAAUAAAUUUGUUCGGCGAAGAGUACUUAAGAAGACCAACAGAGGCUGAUCUUCAACGUCUACUUUAUGUUGCAGAGUGUCGUGGGUUUCCGGGGAUGAUAGGAAGCAUCGAUUGUAUGCAUUGGGAGUGGAAGAAUUGUCCCAGUGCUUGGAAAGGGCAAUAUGCUCGUGGUUCGGGUAAACCAACAAUUGUUUUAGAGGCAGUUGCUUCAUACGAUCUCUGGAUAUGGCAUGCGUUUUUUGGACUUCCAGGCAAUAUGAUAUGGCUUACUAUCUUACCGAUGGUAUAUAUCCGAAAUGGGCAACUUUUAUCCAAUCUAUUCCUCUACCACAAGGACCCAAAGCAGUUCUAUUUGCUCAAUGGCAAGAAGCUUACCGAAAAGAUGUCGAGCGUGCUUUUGGAGUCUUGCAAGCUCGCUUUGCCAUUGUUAAAAAUCCAGUCUUGUUUUGGGAUAGAGUCAAAAUUGGAAAGAUAAUGCGAGCAUGUAUCAUACUCCAUAAUAUGAUAGUACAAGAUGAACGAGAUGGAUACACGCAAGUAGAUGAUUCAGAGUGGAGAGAAAGAGAAGACUCCGAUGACACGUUUUCUACAGCCCCUUCAACUGUCGGAACAAUGAUUGAUGUUGAAAUAACAAUUCGUGAUAGACAGUUGCAUCAACGACUCAAAGGUGAUUUGGUUCAACAUAUAUGGCGUAAAUGUGGACAUGAUGAAGGCAACAACUGAUCUCCGAAAUUUCUUUCAAAUAAAUCUCGUUUGAAUUUUAUUAAUCUUUGUUUUAUGUUUUUUUUUAAAUUAUAUUUUAAAUGUUAUCUUUUAUUAUGUUUUAUAUUUAAUAAAAAAAAAAAUUAAAAAAAAAAUAAUAUUAUUUUAUUUUAAAAGAAACUCAAAUCA